Molecule: small RNA, 783 nt
Filed under: Pongo abelii (Sumatran orangutan)
Lineage: Eukaryota; Metazoa; Chordata; Mammalia; Primates; Hominidae
Description: retained intron
Source: RNAcentral
GCUGCUGCAUUUGCGCACGCCCGUGAACCUGAGCGCGACUCCGCGGCCCGUGUGCCUACCCCACCCGGAACACUACUUCCUGCCCGGGAGCCGCUGCCGCCUGGCCCGCUGGGGCCGCGGGGAACCCGCGCUUGGCCCAGGCGCGCUGCUGGAGGCGGAGCUGUUAGGCGGCUGGUGGUGCCACUGCCUGUACGGCCGCCAGGGGGCGACAGUGCCGCUGCCGGGAGACCCGCCGCACGCGCUCUGCCCUGCCUACCAGGAGGAGGAGGAGGUGGGCAGCUGCUGGAAUGACUCGCGUUGGAGCCUUUUGUGCCAGGAGGAGGGGACCUGGUUUCUGGCUGGAAUCAGAGACUUCCCCAGUGGCUGUCUACGUCCCCGAGCCUUCUUCCCUCUGCAGACCCAUGGCCCAUGGAUCAGCCAUGUGACUCGGGGAGCCUACCUGGAGGACCAGCUAGCCUGGGAUUGGGGCCCUGAUGGGGAGGAGACUGAGACACAGACUUGUCCCCCACACACAGAGCAUGGUGGUGAGCAGGACGCUUUUGGGCCCUAGGGGCUCCUGGGGGUGCACAGACCCAUGGCAGGGGCUCAGGGGUCAGCCAUGGGGCCCCAACUGAGGUGGCCACCUCCUCUCCCUAGCCUGUGGCCUGCGGCUGGAGGCUGCUCCAGUGGGGGUCCUGUGGCCCUGGCUGGCAGAGGUGCAUGUGGCUGGUGAUCGAGUCUGCACUGGGAUCCUCCUGGCCCCAGGCUGGGUCCUGGCAGCCACUCACUGUGUCCUCAGGUGGG